RNAcentral lists this ribosomal RNA (515 nucleotides) under uncultured Acaulospora. RNAcentral describes it as "SSU rRNA". It matches the Rfam family "Eukaryotic small subunit ribosomal RNA", at positions 569 to 1083 of the family's 1831-position model. The record is from RNAcentral. Lineage: Eukaryota; Fungi; Glomeromycota; Glomeromycetes; Diversisporales; Acaulosporaceae.
AGCAGCCGCGGUAAUUCCAGCUCCAAUAGCGUAUAUUAAAGUUGUUGCAGUUAAAAAGCUCGUAGUUGAAUUUCGGGAUUUGUCAGUUGGUCGGGCUUCACUGUCCGUACUGGCUUGAUGGAUUCUUACCUUCUGAAUGACCAGCAUGCUAUUAAGUUAGUGCGUUGGGGAAGCAGAUCUAUUACCUUGAAAAAUUAGAGUGCUUAAAGCGGGCUAGUGCUUGAAUAGAUUAGCAUGGAAUAAUAAAAUAGGACGGCAUGGUUCUAUUUUGUUGGUUUCUAGGAUCACCGUAAUGAUUAAUAGGGAUAGUUGGGGGCAUUAGUAUUCAAUUGUCAGAGGUGAAAUUCUUAGAUUUAUUGAAGACUAACUUCUGCGAAAGCAUUUGCCAAGGAUGUUUUCAUUAAUCAAGAACGAAAGUUAGGGGGAUCGAAGACGAUCAGAUACCGUCGUAGUCUUAACCAUAAACUAUGCCGACUAGGAAUCGGACGAAGUUAAUUUUAUAAUGACUCGUUCGG